Molecule: ribosomal RNA, 278 nt
Filed under: uncultured eukaryote
Lineage: Eukaryota
Description: partial 18S ribosomal RNA
Rfam family: Eukaryotic small subunit ribosomal RNA
Source: RNAcentral
UAGUCAUAUGCUUGUCUCAAAGAUUAAGCCAUGCAUGUCUAAGUAUAAACAUCUUUAUACAGUGAAACUGCGUACAGCUCAUUAUAUCAGUAAUGAUUUAUUUGAUGGUACCUUACUACAUGGAUAACCGUAGUAAUUCUAGAGCUAAUACAUGCGUACAGUCCCGACUUUCGUGGAAGGGAUGUAUUUAUUAGAUAAAAAAUCAAUGCUGCUUCGGCAGAUUCCAUUGGUGAUUCAUAAUAACUACUCGAAUCGCAUAGUUUUAAACUGGCGAUAGU